Molecule: ribosomal RNA, 492 nt
Filed under: uncultured bacterium
Lineage: Bacteria
Description: partial 16S ribosomal RNA
Rfam family: Bacterial small subunit ribosomal RNA
Source: RNAcentral
AGUGAACGCUGGCGGUAGGCCUAACACAUGCAAGUCGAGCGGCAGCACAGUAAGAGCUUGCUCUUACGGGUGGCGAGUGGCGGACGGGUGAGGAAUACAUCGGAAUCUACUUUUUCGUGGGGGAUAACGUAGGGAAACUUACGCUAAUACCGCAUACGACCUACGGGUGAAAGCAGGGGAUCUUCGGGCCUUGCGCGAUUGAAUGAGCCGAUGUCGGAUUAGCUAGUUGGCGGGGUAAAGGCCCACCAAGGCGACGAUCCGUAGCUGGUCUGAGAGGAUGAUCAGCCACACUGGAACUGAGACACGGUCCAGACUCCUACGGGAGGCAGCAGUGGGGAAUAUUGGACAAUGGGCGCAAGCCUGAUCCAGCCAUACCGCGUGGGUGAAGAAGGCCUUCGGGUUGUAAAGCCCUUUUGUUGGGAAAGAAAAGCAGCAGGUUAAUACCCCGCUGUUCUGACGGUACCCAAAGAAUAAGCACCGGCUAACUUCGUG